RNAcentral lists this ribosomal RNA (489 nucleotides) under uncultured bacterium. RNAcentral's name for it is "bacterial SSU rRNA". It matches the Rfam family "Bacterial small subunit ribosomal RNA", at positions 1 to 507 of the family's 1533-position model. The record is from RNAcentral.
ACAGUCACACGUAGUUGAUCCUGGCUCAGAACGAACGUUAGCGGCAGCGCGGGGGCAACCCUGGCGGCGAGCGGCGAACGGGUGAGUAACAUAUCGGAACGUACCCAGUCGUGGGGGAUAACUAUCCGAAAGGAUAGCUAAUACCGCAUACGUCCUGAGGGAGAAAGCGGGGGAUCGCAAGACCUCGCGCGAUUGGAGCGGCCGAUAUCGGAUUAGCUAGUUGGUGGGGUAAAGGCUCACCAAGGCGACGAUCCGUAGCGGGUCUGAGAGGACGACCCGCCACACUGGAACUGAGACACGGUCCGGACUCCUACGGGGAGGCAGCAGGUGGGGUAAUUUUGGACAAUGGGGGCAACCCUGAUCCAGCCAUUCCGCGUGAGUGAAGAAGGCCUUCGGGUUGUAAAGCUCUUUCAGCAGGAACGAAACGGUGGUCCCUAAUACGGACUACUAAUGACGGUACCUGAAGAAGAAGCACCGGCUAACUACGUG